CCUGACGGUAGUCGUAUGCUCGUCUCCGAGACGUAAGCCAUGCAAGUCCAAGUACACGUCCUUGAACGACGGAAACUGCGAACGGCUCAUUAAAUCAGUUGCGAUCUACUCGGCGUUCCGCGCCGCCGGAUAACCGUAGUAAUUCUAGGGCUAAUACGUGCGAAGCGCCCGCAGCCGCGAGGCGACGGGCGUUCUCGCCGGAUGUAGGAACCGACCCGGGGACCGCCGGGGCAACCCGGCGCCCCCCGAGACGGGGCGAACCACGGUGAAAUGACGGAUCGUCGGCCCCGCGCCGGCGACUCGCCGAAUGAGUUUCUGACCUAUCAACUCGAGACGGCGGGGUAGAGGCCCGCCGCGGUAACGACGGGUAACGGGGAAUCAGGGUUCGAUUCCGGAGAGGGAGCCGAGAAACGGCUACCACUUCCAAGGAAGGCAGC
This 437-nucleotide ribosomal RNA is filed under the name uncultured eukaryote. RNAcentral's name for it is "bacterial SSU rRNA". It matches the Rfam family "Eukaryotic small subunit ribosomal RNA", at positions 13 to 429 of the family's 1831-position model. The record is from RNAcentral.